This 228-nucleotide long non-coding RNA is filed under the name Oryza brachyantha (malo sina). RNAcentral's name for it is "long non-coding RNA (OBRA_LNC000573)". Lineage: Eukaryota; Viridiplantae; Streptophyta; Magnoliopsida; Poales; Poaceae. The record is from RNAcentral.
CCAUCACGCAGUCCGCCUUGAGAACCCUGCAGCCGUAGCCGAAGGUCGCCACCUCGUUCGCCAGCAGCGCCGCCGCCACCAAGAACGUGACCAGCAACGGAUGCCCAGCACGGCGUCUUCUCAUGGUGUCUACCGCCGCACGCUAGCUGUUCGCUCGCCCUGCCCCGGUUACGCGCGACGCAACAACAAUUAAACCCAGCUGGGGUGAGCCCCUGACCCCUGAGCUAG